CAUUAUGAAGCUAAAUAGCAUUAACCUUUUAAGUUAAAGAUAGAGAGCUCAAACCUCUCCAUAAUGA
This 67-nucleotide transfer RNA is filed under the name Ochotona thibetana (Moupin pika). RNAcentral describes it as "tRNA-Lys". It matches the Rfam family "tRNA". From Rfam's summary of the family: Transfer RNA (tRNA) molecules are approximately 80 nucleotides in length. Lineage: Eukaryota; Metazoa; Chordata; Mammalia; Lagomorpha; Ochotonidae. The record is from RNAcentral.